GUGGGGGAUAUUGCACAAUGGGGGAAACCCUGAUGCAGCAACGCCGCGUGAAGGAAGAAGGUCUUCGGAUUGUAAACUUUUGUCCUCAGUGAAGAUAAUGACGGUAGCUGAGGAGGAAGCUCCGGCUAACUACGUGCCAGCAGCCGCGGUAAUACGUAGGGAGCGAGCGUUGUCCGGAUUUACUGGGUGUAAAGGGUGCGUAGGCGGACUGGCAAGUCAGUGGUGAAAACUAUGGGCUUAACCCAUAGACUGCCAUUGAAACUGUUGGUCUUGAGUGAAGUAGAGGCAGGCGGAAUUCCCGGUGUAGCGGUGAAAUGCGUAGAGAUCGGGAGGAACACCAGUGGCGAAGGCGGCCUGCUGGGCUUUAACUGACGCUGAGGCACGAAAGUGUGGGUAGCAAACAGGA
Molecule: ribosomal RNA, 406 nt
Filed under: uncultured bacterium
Lineage: Bacteria
Description: bacterial SSU rRNA
Rfam family: Bacterial small subunit ribosomal RNA
Source: RNAcentral